UUUUGAUAAAGGCAAACUAUUUCGAAAGGAUAGGACGCAAAGUCAUGGGUCUAAAGCUAACGCAUUGCAAAGACCGCCAGACUACCAAG
This 89-nucleotide non-coding RNA is filed under the name Evansella cellulosilytica. Its description in RNAcentral is "Bacillus cellulosilyticus c-di-GMP sequence". It matches the Rfam family "c-di-GMP-I riboswitch aptamer". From Rfam's summary of the family: GEMM was predicted in a large-scale screen for bacterial structured RNA regulatory elements. Genes associated with GEMM are involved in a diverse array of functions, including chemotaxis regulation, signal transduction, secretion and chitin. Lineage: Bacteria; Bacillati; Bacillota; Bacilli; Caryophanales; Bacillaceae. The record is from RNAcentral. RNAcentral also lists the same sequence under 1 other name.